Phacochoerus africanus (Common warthog) is the source of this 937-nucleotide long non-coding RNA. RefSeq lists it as uncharacterized. The transcript is spliced from 3 exons. Lineage: Eukaryota; Metazoa; Chordata; Mammalia; Artiodactyla; Suidae. The record is from RefSeq and is a predicted model, not a curated record.
GGAAAGAAGGAAGGAAGAAAAAGAGGCAAAGGCAAAGGCAACUCUUGGGAGUAGAGAGCGCCUUACAGAGGGAAGGGUAAAUGACAAGGCCAGGAUCCCAGCCCCUGUCACUCCUGUCUCUCCUAAUUUGGCCAGAAUCUCCACUGGUCAAGGGGUCUUUCCUGAUUUGUUCCCUGGGUUGGGGCUAGAGGCACCCCAGCCUUGCAAGAGAAUGUCGGAGUCCCUGGCCAGGCGGAGGCCUGGAGCCGGGGAGGCCCAGGAUGGAAGCGUGCGCCCCUGACCUUGAAUGGCCCGCGGCCCAGAAUUCCUACCACGCCCCUGGCUUCCGCGAUGGAGCAGCUAACCUGACCGUACCUGCUCCUGGCCAGGUGGAGAUGGGGGGUGAGGCCAGCAGUCUGGCAGAGAGCUGAGAACGAGGCAGGGUUGAGGCUCCUGCGCGGGAUAAGCCGAGGUUGCCACCGCAGGCCAGGCGCGACCAGGGCCUGGAUGCCCCGCCCGGCACGGCCCGGCCCCCGCGCGCACAGGUACCUGGAGACGAUUUCAACUGAAGUAAUGAAGGCAGUGUCGUGCUGUCGAGAGAAAGGUGGAUCCCAACAACAGGAAACUACCUAAAUCACCGACCAGUUCUGAUGCUGCCCGCGCGAAGCUGCCUCGCCCUCCGCCGCCACUGCCGCCGCCGCCGCCGCCACCGCCGCCGCCGCCGCCGCCAAGGGAGAACCCUGCGAUCGCGCCCGGCCCCUCGCCAACCUGUGCCCGCCACUGCCACUGCGUGUCCCGGGCUGCCGCUAAGGCAUGUCGGAGAAAAAAGCCACUGGCCUCAGGAAGCCAGAAGAACAUGGAAAUUCAGAGCCAACAUCAAGCCCUUUUCCCAAGCUGCGUGUCCAUGCCUGCAAGCUCUUCUCUUUGCCAAGGAAGAAAGGAAGAAAGGAAAAAGAAA